Long non-coding RNA from Pyrus x bretschneideri (Chinese white pear), 696 nucleotides. RefSeq lists it as uncharacterized. The transcript is spliced from 5 exons. Lineage: Eukaryota; Viridiplantae; Streptophyta; Magnoliopsida; Rosales; Rosaceae. The record is from RefSeq and is a predicted model, not a curated record.
UUGAGGGUUUUACUUAGGUUUUGAAUUAGGUGGGUUUUUGGUAUUUCAGCUCCCCAAGUUUUUCACUUUCAUUGUGGAUUGUUGUUUUUGGAUUUAAUUAGCUUUGUUUUUUUCAUUUUUCUCAAAUUCCCAGCUGAUUUGGCUUCCAAAUAAAAACGAACAAAUCACCUAAAAAAAGAGCUCCAGGCAAUACAUACAUGAACUCGAUGAGAAGCCACCAUCUCUUAUCUACAGAGUGAAGAAGAACUCAACAGAUUUAGAUUGUAGAAAAAUGAUCAAAAACAGCUUCAUGCAAGCACAUGAGUUUGAGAAGAGACGCGCUGAAUCUCACUUCGCCAUUCGCCCCUCCGUCCUCUCAUGAUCUCUCACACCCUCUCUCUAAUUUCAGAACAAUAUUAAGCGGCUCGAGCUCUUUUUGCAUUGAAUCAAUGGCAGUCAUCUAGAGGCACUCAAAUUAGUGUUUUGGAGUGCAUCUUGGCCAGACCACCACAAAAGAGAAAACGGAAACCAAAAUCAGAGCCAUCAAAACAAACAAAUGCUGGUAUGUCCUAAAAAAGCUGAAGCCAAGUGUGGAUAAAGAGAAAGAUCUCAUGGCAGGAAUCAUGAACUUGAUGAAGGUGAGGUUAACAAAGUGUGCUUUAGCACCAAGAUUGGAAUUUGGGUGUUCUGAGCUUUGUUUUGUUGUGAUUUUUCUAU